UACGGAAGGCAGCAGGGGGGAAUAUUGCACAAUGGGCGCAAGCCUGAUGCAGCCAUGCCGCGUGUAUGAAGAAGGCCUUCGGGUUGUAAAGUACUUUCAGUCGUGAGGAAGGUGUUAAGGUUAAUAACCUUAGCAAUUGACGUUAGCGACAGAAGAAGCACCGGCUAACUCCGUGCCAGCAGCCGCGGUAAUACGGAGGGUGCGAGCGUUAAUCGGAAUUACUGGGCGUAAAGGGCACGCAGGCGGUUAAUUAAGUUGGAUGUGAAAUCCCCGGGCUUAACCUGGGAAUGGCAUUCAAGACUGGUUAGCUAGAGUCUUGUAGAGGGGGUAGAAUUCCAUGUGUAGCGGUGAAAUGCGUAGAGAUGUGGAGGAAUACCGGUGGCGAAGGCGGCCCCUGGACAAAGACUGACGCUCAUGUGCGAAAGCGUGGGGAGCAAACAGAUUAGAUACC
This 451-nucleotide ribosomal RNA is filed under the name uncultured bacterium. Its description in RNAcentral is "bacterial SSU rRNA". It matches the Rfam family "Bacterial small subunit ribosomal RNA", at positions 340 to 786 of the family's 1533-position model. The record is from RNAcentral.